Molecule: ribosomal RNA, 1737 nt
Filed under: Salmonella enterica
Lineage: Bacteria; Pseudomonadati; Pseudomonadota; Gammaproteobacteria; Enterobacterales; Enterobacteriaceae
Description: partial 23S ribosomal RNA
Rfam family: Bacterial large subunit ribosomal RNA
Source: RNAcentral
GAAGCUGCGGCAGCGACGCUUAUGCGUUGUUGGGUAGGGGAGCGUUCUGUAAGCCUGCGAAGGUGGCCUGUGAGGGUUGCUGGAGGUAUCAGAAGUGCGAAUGCUGACAUAAGUAACGAUAAAGCGGGUGAAAAGCCCGCUCGCCGGAAGACCAAGGGUUCCUGUCCAACGUUAAUCGGGGCAGGGUGAGUCGACCCCUAAGGCGAGGCCGAAAGGCGUAGUCGAUGGGAAACGGGUUAAUAUUCCCGUACUUGGUGUUACUGCGAAGGGGGGACGGAGAAGGCUAUGUUGGCCGGGCGACGGUUGUCCCGGUUUAAGCGUGUAGGUGUGUGUUCCAGGUAAAUCCGGUUCACUUUAACACUGAGGCGUGACGACGAGGCACUACGGUGCUGAAGCAACAAAUGCCCUGCUUCCAGGAAAAGCCUCUAAGCAUCAGGUAACAUCAAAUCGUACCCCAAACCGACACAGGUGGUCAGGUAGAGAAUACCAAGGCGCUUGAGAGAACUCGGGUGAAGGAACUAGGCAAAAUGGUGCCGUAACUUCGGGAGAAGGCACGCUGACACGUAGGUGAAGUGAUUUACUCAUGGAGCUGAAGUCAGUCGAAGAUACCAGCUGGCUGCAACUGUUUAUUAAAAACACAGCACUGUGCAAACACGAAAGUGGACGUAUACGGUGUGACGCCUGCCCGGUGCCGGAAGGUUAAUUGAUGGGGUCAGCGCAAGCGAAGCUCCUGAUCGAAGCCCCGGUAAACGGCGGCCGUAACUAUAACGGUCCUAAGGUAGCGAAAUUCCUUGUCGGGUAAGUUCCGACCUGCACGAAUGGCGUAAUGAUGGCCAGGCUGUCUCCACCCGAGACUCAGUGAAAUUGAACUCGCUGUGAAGAUGCAGUGUACCCGCGGCAAGACGGAAAGACCCCGUGAACCUUUACUAUAGCUUGACACUGAACAUUGAGCCUUGAUGUGUAGGAUAGGUGGGAGGCUUUGAAGUGUGGACGCCAGUCUGCAUGGAGCCGACCUUGAAAUACCACCCUUUAAUGUUUGAUGUUCUAACGUGGACCCGUUACCCGGGUUGCGGACAGUGUCUGGUGGGUAGUUUGACUGGGGCGGUCUCCUCCUAAAGAGUAACGGAGGAGCACGAAGGUUGGCUAAUCCUGGUCGGACAUCAGGAGGUUAGUGCAAUGGCAUAAGCCAGCUUGACUGCGAGCGUGACGGCGCGAGCAGGUGCGAAAGCAGGUCAUAGUGAUCCGGUGGUUCUGAAUGGAAGGGCCAUCGCUCAACGGAUAAAAGGUACUCCGGGGAUAACAGGCUGAUACCGCCCAAGAGUUCAUAUCGACGGCGGUGUUUGGCACCUCGAUGUCGGCUCAUCACAUCCUGGGGCUGAAGUAGGUCCCAAGGGUAUGGCUGUUCGCCAUUUAAAGUGGUACGCGAGCUGGGUUUAGAACGUCGUGAGACAGUUCGGUCCCUAUCUGCCGUGGGCGCUGGAGAACUGAGGGGGGCUGCUCCUAGUACGAGAGGACCGGAGUGGACGCAUCACUGGUGUUCGGGUUGUCAUGCCAAUGGCACUGCCCGGUAGCUAAAUGCGGAAGAGAUAAGUGCUGAAAGCAUCUAAGCACGAAACUUGCCCCGAGAUGAGUUCUCCCUGAGACUUAAAGUCUCCUGAAGGAACGUUGAAGACGACGACGUUGAUAGGCCGGGUGUGUAAGCGCAGCGAUGCGUUGAGCUAACCGGUACUAAUGAAC